GAUGAACGCUGGCGGCGUGCUUAACACAUGCAAGUCGAACGGAGUGCCUUUGAAAGAGGAUUCGUCCAAUUGAUAAGGUUACUUAGUGGCGGACGGGUGAGUAACGCGUGAGGAACCUGCCUUGGAGUGGGGAAUAACACAGUGAAAAUUGUGCUAAUACCGCAUAAUGCAGUUGGGCCGCAUGGCUCUGACUGCCAAAGCUUUAUGUGCUGAAAGAUGGCCUCGCGUCUGAUUAGCUAGUUGGUGGGGUAACGGCCCACCAAGGCGACGAUCAGUAGCCGGUCUGAGAGGAUGAACGGCCACAUUGGGACUGAGAUACGGCCCAG
This 326-nucleotide ribosomal RNA is filed under the name uncultured bacterium. Its description in RNAcentral is "bacterial SSU rRNA". It matches the Rfam family "Bacterial small subunit ribosomal RNA", at positions 28 to 334 of the family's 1533-position model. The record is from RNAcentral.